UGCCAGCAGCCGCGGUAAUACCCAGGGUGCGAGCGUUAAUCGGAUUUACUGGGCGUAAAGCGUGCGUAGGCGGCUUAUUAAGUCGGAUGUGAAAUCCCCGAGCUUAACUUGGGAAUUGCAUUCGAUACUGGUGAGCUAGAGUAUGGGAGAGGAUGGUAGAAUUCCAGGUGUAGCGGUGAAAUGCGUAGAGAUCUGGAGGAAUACCGAUGGCGAAGGCAGCCAUCUGGCCUAAUACUGACGCUGAGGUACGAAAGCAUGGGGAGCAAACAGGAUUAGAUACCCUGGUAGUCCAUGCCGUAAACGAUGUCUACUAGCCGUUGGGGCCUUUGAGGCUUUAGUGGCGCAGCUAACGCGAUAAGUAGACCGCCUGGGGAGUACGGUCGCAAGACUAAAACUCAAAUGAAUUGACGGGGGCCCGCACAAGCGGUGGAGCAUGUGGUUUAAUUCGAUGCAACGCGAAGAACCUUACCUGGCCUUGACAUACUAGAAACUUUCCAGAGAUGGAUUGGUGCCUUCGGGAAUCUAGAUACAGGUGCUGCAUGGCUGUCGUCAGCUCGUGUCGUGAGAUGUUGGGUUAAGUCCCGCAACGAGCGCAACCCUUU
RNAcentral lists this ribosomal RNA (602 nucleotides) under uncultured Acinetobacter sp. RNAcentral describes it as "bacterial SSU rRNA". It matches the Rfam family "Bacterial small subunit ribosomal RNA", at positions 506 to 1107 of the family's 1533-position model. The record is from RNAcentral. Lineage: Bacteria; Pseudomonadati; Pseudomonadota; Gammaproteobacteria; Moraxellales; Moraxellaceae.